ACCAAGAGCUUUGAAACUACUAGUGUAUUGCUGCUGAAAAUGACGUCUAAUGUCAUGGUUGUAAGAUUGCUGUUGGUUUCAUUGGCUGUAGGUGGAUGGAUGCAAGCUCUAUCCAGGAGAAGACACUGCACCAGUUCUAUUGAACAUAAAAUAUUCAUUGUCGCGAGAUCAAGAAGCUGUUGAGAUUCAGAAACAUUUUAGAAAGGACACGACAGUUGGAGAGAUGAAGAUUAUGUUGUGCAACUCUGUUGGAAUUGAUGAUCAAGAUCUGCUCCUCAGUUGGGUGAAGUCAAAAGGUAAAACCAGUGAGGUUGUACCACUGAACUCUUUUCAGGAUGGCCACGCAAUAAACGAGGUCGGCCUUCAAGAUGGUGACCUUCUGGUUGCCGAGAAAGCAAUUCAAAUGCAAUCCAGUGUCGUAAAUGGAAGCUUAAUACCUAGUUUGGCUUCUCAAGAGAAUGAGAAACAUUCCAGCAUGAUGUCGUUUGUGGUUGAGUGUAGGUGUUUGGCGGCAGAGUCCGAGGAACAGAGUCACAAUGACAGAAGCAACUGUUGGCCAGUUUAUCCUGUCAAAAUUCACAAAGAGCAGACCAUUGGGGAUCUCAAGACCCAAGUGCUGUCACAUGCAGGCUUUCAGACCAUGCAAGGUUAUGAUACUUUGAAAUAAACAGUUAGACUGUUGAGAUGGUGAUGAUCAUUGCCAUGUUGUCGACAUUGAGUGAUAUUACUUGACAAGACUGAGAUUCGUAACGGCAGCUUUGGAUUCGUGAGGCUAUGAAAAUGUCGUUAACACUCAGUGUUUUGCCUAGGCAAUUAAGCCAUUCUUCUUAGCCAAGGGGCUGACCAGGUGAAGUCUGUUUCCGAAGUUAAAUAAAGUGACGAUGAACCAGUGCCGGCGUACAGAAUUUCUGGAAACACAGAAUGUUGAAUGAUAUUGUUAGACGAUAGUAGAGAGCAGUUUUCAAAUUACUUGCCAAUUAGACUACUCAGCCAGUCUCAAACCGUAGUAAAACCAAAAUCAAAACCAAAGCAAUUGCCUGAUUACUUUCCACACUCAAUUGACAACCGCUCUAAACAGUCUGCCGUAUAAACCCCUCAUUUAAAAUACCUUCACUUAUAUCAUAUAUUGGUAUUUUUUCUUUUAUCGUAGAAU
This is an unclassified non-coding RNA of Orbicella faveolata, 1153 nucleotides long. The record is from RefSeq and is a predicted model, not a curated record. NCBI's taxonomy places the organism in Eukaryota, Metazoa, Cnidaria, Anthozoa, Scleractinia, Merulinidae.